Molecule: long non-coding RNA, 6009 nt
Organism: Manis pentadactyla (Chinese pangolin)
Lineage: Eukaryota; Metazoa; Chordata; Mammalia; Pholidota; Manidae
Exons: 3
Source: RefSeq, a predicted model, not a curated record
UUCCACAGUGGUGUCAUCACAUGCAUAACAAACAUGUUUGGCUCCCAGCUGAACAGGUAAAGACACGACAGCAUUUCUUUUUUAAAAUGAAUGCCAAAGCCUUUGCCUCUACUCAGGUCCCCUAAGCUUCCUUCCCUGCCCAGGAAUUGGAUCUGGGGUAAUGGGUGACCCAGCAGGCACAGAGAUGACAGAUUCCUGCAUCAUGUAGCAACGCUGGGACAACCUGGGACAACGCUGGGACAAUGCUGGGGCAUCUGGCCUGGCAGGAAGGCGGGCCGCCGUUGCUGGCCAGAAACUGCGGGAGAAUCUCUUGGACUUAUGUCUGGAAGGAAAGACUUGAGAGACUUCAAACUCUCUUCUUUUGUGAGCAGGAACUGGGAAUACAGCUGUGAAGAGAAACCAAUCCUGCAUUCCAUGCUCUUACAGACCAAAAGCAUCAUCAGGUGAGGAAACAUGAUUACCAUACAGGCUUGUUAUCUUUGAAUGGCUGAUACUAAUGGUAUUUACUGUUCCCCACAUGUCCACCACAUUUUCUGCAUGUUCCUAUCGUGGUUCCUGUUUUAUAUGUGUAUGUGUGUUUGUGUGAGAAAGAGACAGAGAGGAGAGAGAGAAUAGUUAUACACACACACACAAAUGUAUGUGUUUGCUUUUUAAGGUACUGGAUUCCUCUAUCUUCCAUACGAUUAAGAAUUCAUAGAGCUCCAUUUCCUUCACUAAGAGACCUAUCGGCUCCUAGGAAAUCUCAUCCACUUUGAGCCCUGGUAGUGACACCACAGUGUCAGGGAAAGAAUGCUAAUGAUUUUUCCACUAGCUGAUCCCAAAAGCUUGGCAGAGGGAACUCAGUCCACUGAAUAUUUAUAUAGCACCUUGAUUAAAAAAGCUCAAUGCAAUAUUCUAAGUAACUGAAUUAUAACCUCAUUUUGUAAACUGUGUAUUUUAAAUACAAAAAUAAGCUCCUUUACCAACCUUUAUUAUUUGUUUAAAACAAUCACAAGAUAAAUUUUGUAGAAGACUAGAAGUAAAAUUGUAAAUGGUGAUAAUCUCUGGGUGAUGGAAUUACAGGCAAUUUAAGUGAUUUCUGCAUUACUCAAAAUUUACACAAUUAACAUUAUGGACUUUUCAAUUAGAAAAAAUAUUACAUAAGCAAUUUAAGUUAACAGGCCAUAAAAAAAUAAACCUCACUCAUAAUUUAAAAAAAUACUAAGUAAAAUAAUUCUCUAAAGCUAUCACAUUAAGAUAUUAUAAAGUUAGUAUACCUAGUAUAGGCAAGGGGACGGCAAACUAGGCUUUAGCUAUUAUACACAGCUGAUACGAUUACAAAUUGUCCCCAUCUUUUUGGAGGGCAAUAUGGCAUAUCUAUCAAAAUUUUAAAUGCACAUACUUCUGAACCCAACAGUUCCACUUUUAGGAGUUUUUCUUAUAGAGGGACUUGCAUAAGGGUACAAAGAUAAAUGUAGAAGGAUGUUCGAAAAGGAAUUUUUUAAUUGUACUAGAUUCAUAAAGUGAAAUAUUCUGCAACUGUUAAGAAUAACUCUACAUGUACAUAUGAUUAAAACUUACUGUUUUGCGCAGAAAGCAAGUUGCAGAAUAGUGGAUAUAACUCCUUUUGUAUACAAUUUUUAAGGGCUGCAAAAACAUGUAUAUGCUUGUGUAUACAAUUAAAACCUAACUGUGGAAAUAUCUCUUGAUAAGUGAGAUGACUGAGGUAGGCUGGGGCUUUUUAUUUUUAAAAAAUUUAUUUGAAGAGUAAUGUUUAAUUUUUUAUUGAGGUACAUACAAUAAAAUGCACAAAUCUUUGUAUACAGCUUGAUAACUUUUGAUAUACAUAUCACUAAUGUAAAAAUUUUCAUUAUUUUAAAACUAAUAUUCUUUGAUUAUUUGAAUUUUGUUACAUUGAGUAUGUAUUUUUAUUUUUAACAGCCUUUUUGGGACAUAAUUCAUAUACUACAUAACUCAUCAUUUAAAGUAGUUUUUAGACCACUUACACAUUCAAUGUUUUUUAGUAUUUUCAAAGACUUGUAUGAUCAUUACUUUGAAUACAGAUGUUGAAUUAUAAUGUUGUACACCUGAAACUUAUAUAUAUAAUGUUAUAUACCAAUUUUACCUCAAUAAAAAAAAAUGUUUUUGGAAGAUGCUCCAAAAGUGAAUUUGCUAGUGGCAAGAGAAUGUGUGUGUGAGAUACAAUCAAAGGUCUGAGUAAGGUAACAAUACACAUAAACAUGGAGAAAAAAAUAUGAGAACAAAGGGCGGAGAGGCCAGAUAGCAAGAAAGGAAGAUGCUAAAAUGAGUUUUAGGAACACACUAGAUCUGCCUUCAUUAAACAAACACAUCUGGGUUUUGUAACAAAAAGCUCAAGGUAAGAUAUUUGGGCAUGAUAAGGAAAAAAAAAAGAACAAAACCUUGAUUUGAUGGUAAUACAAAUAUUUGUAUAAACCAGAUUCUAAAUAAAUCUGCAGACAGCUGGAUAUGAUUCCUUUUAUGGAAGAUGCAAAUAAAAAGGGUUUAGAGAAAUACAUUUACUUUGUAGUUGCCAGAAAUCUCUCUUGUCUUAGGAAGCCUGACAGAGAGAUACUAAUUCUCAAGCACACUAACUAACUGAACAUGAAUAACACUCAAUUUGGUUAAGAGUAUCUGAGAAUAUAAGGAAAGCUUGAUAGAAGUGCACUCUUGCAACAUAGUGACCAACUUAAUAAUCACAAACCAUGCAGGAAUAUUCUCUUUGGCUCAAAGUUUUGUAUAUGUAUUUAAAAGGGUGAGAAAACAUACAUUUGAAAGAUAAUGUUUUAUGAAAACAUUCAGCAAAACUCACAUUUAAUCUCUGUAUUACUUAACAUUAUCUUUUCUCUGAGACUCUUCCUUCAUUAAAAUCUUCCUCGAGCACUACAGAUCUUAGGAACAUUUUGUAGACUAUAUCAUCUUAUUUUCCUUUUUUGUAUCUUUAAAAGCACAGUUGUACAGUUGGAGGAGUCUCUGGCACCAGGAACAGCAAACUUUCUUGCUUAUCCUGUAAAUCAAUUAGCUUAGAUACAGCUCUUAUUUACUUAAUUAGGGCAAUGUGGUGACUGCAGCUCUAGUUCAACAUCAAUAAAAUAAUGAAAAUGUACACAGGAUAGCUAUGCCCAUGCAAAAUCUGUUUUGUAAAGGAGUAAACAUCAGAUUAAAAAUAAAAGCCAGCCAUUUUUGAAUUACAGAACUGCAAAGUAAUGCUGGUGCAAUAAUUUAUUAUAACAAUUAAAAAUUUUAAAUUUGUUAUCUGAUGGGAUGGAUCAUCUUUAAGAGUAUCUUAAGUGGUAAAAGCUUUAAAAUCUGAUGACAGUUCAAAAUCACUCAUGUUUAUGGCUAACAGUUGACAUAAUACUAAGGAAUAAGGAAUCCUCAAGAACUAGCUAUCCUUUUAAGUAUUAUAGUAUGGUGUGUUUUUCUAUUUCUACAUGUGCAUGUGUGCAUGUGCAUGUGUGUAACACAGAUUAUUGGGAAUUAAUGUACUGCGUGUGCUGGAGACUGUUGCUAACAACAAAGUCAUCUCUAUAAAUGCUCCAAUUGACUAUAACUUCUUAGCAAACCAUAUGAAAAAGAAAAUGUUACUAUCCUGGUAACAUGCCAUGUAGGACAAUGAUCAGACUAUAAUUCUUAUUUAUUUGCUUUAAAGCAAAGUCAUUUAAUCAAAAAGGCUACCUAAGUCUUGUCCUGUGACUGUGACAACAAAUUAAAAUGGAAUUGCUUAAACCUCCAAAAUAUGCAAAAUGGUAACUGAAAGAACAUCACUUUAAUGACAAUUAAAGCCAGCCAUCUCUGUGGGCUAAAUGCAGAUACAAGUGGAAGCUAACCUUGGCUUUCAGGCUUAAGGUUAGACUAGUGGGACUUCUAUUGUCAUCUGGACAGGUGGCAAUAACCUUAGAAGGGAUGCAGAGCCUUCAAAGUCUUCUUUUAGAUCUUACAUCAAGCUACAAUGAACCCUGGCUUCAAAACAAAAUUUGAAUGCCAGAAAGCAAAGGCGAAGGGUUAAAUGCUCAUUAUUUUUUAUUUCUUAGAUGCUAAAAUAUUUUUAAAAGCCAGGACAGCUCAAUUUAGAUUACAAAAAGGCACUCUGAUGAAAAGAAAAUGUGUUCCUAAAUAUAUUUUGAAGUAGAUGGUUAGAAAGCUAAUAUAGAGUUUAUGGUCUAAAUAUAUCAUUCUUUCAGAGGCAGAACAUAUUGCUGGGGGAAAAAAAUCCUCCGUCAUAGGACUUAUGGCAUAUAGUAACUAAAAUGUUUUUCCAUUUGUUGAAUUUUCAAUGUUGGGGAAUAUUUUUCAGUAGACCCGGAGAGAAGUCCUAAAUUGGAAAAGCAGCUGCAUCCAAGGUCAUCUCUCUUGUUUCCAAAUAUAUCUUGAAACAAAUGCAAGAAGGGCACUUUGCUGAGUGUUAUCUGGACAUAUAUAGUUUCAAUCAAAUUCUUCAAGAAGUGUCAGAAUAAAAGCUGAACAUUUGUUUGACACUGCCAAGUCACUAGCAAGUGGAUCUCUUCAAGGGCUGAGGCUCCCCUUGGCGACCCGGCAAUUAUUACAACAAAAAGGAGCUCUUUUCCUACUCUCAAGAAAAAUAAAUGAAGCACAGUUAAACACCAGCUCUGAAUUUUUGUCACAUUUUUUGAUGUAUAGGAAAUCAUAUAAAUUUAUAAAAAUGUCUCCCAACAAAAAUAAAACUUAAAUAUUCUGUUCCUCAGCUGAAUUGCUUGAAAUUAUCAAAUCUUUUUUACAUAUCUGAAAUGUUACAUGUAACAAAAAGGUGAUGGUAUAGAUGAUAAAGAGUUGUAAACUGAAUCAGAGAAAAAUGUUGAAUCUUUGACUUAAAUGUAAAAAAUACCUGUCCAAACACAAUGAAAUAAAUAACUGGCUUAUUGCCUAUACUGCUCUCCUUCGUCAUAAAAACAAACCAAGCUUAGUCCAUGAUAGCAGUCUCCUGUGGAGAUGAUCUUUGUCAUUCUUUACAAUGUAAUGAAUCUCUCUGAUUCAUUGAUGUACAAUGAAUUCAUCAAUGUAAUGAUGUAAUUUCAUCAAGGGUCAGAAAGGAACCAGGGAUAUUAAGAGCCAUUCCAGUUAUUAUAUAUCAAAUAGACAACGAUUCACAAUUGCACCAAAUCAAGACUUUCAGCAAUCUGGUUCCCAGCUCCAUUUCCAGCUCCAUCAUCCUCAUUCCAUCCAGCCUUACCUGGCUCAUGCCUCCUUUCUUUGAAGGAGAAGCCCUGCCUUUUCCCACUUAAUACAGAGCUGGAUGCAAAAGAGGGCCAAUGAGUCCUUGCUGGUUUCAUUACUGCUGUCCUCCUACACUCUUCCACUUACUUAACCAAAUCUACUCAUCUUGCCUGGCCCACAUUAUUCCCCCACUUUGACAAAGCCUCCUGGACUCCCCUGUAACACGUCAGUCUUCCCUAGAUCUCCAAUUGAUUGAACUUUGAUUGCACCACGAAAUUGAGCACUUGGUUGUUACAUUCUGAUGUACAUAUUUGUUGUGGUUUAAUAUAUUGUUAGUCCUGUUAAUAACAGGGGCCACGUCUUAUACAUACCUUUUCAUAGAGUCUAGGUGAGGGCCCAGCACAUCAAAUUCCAGAGCUUGUCAUUAAAAGGAACUGCUCCUCCCUAGCAACUGGGUAACUCUCUGAGCCAUACUAGACUUCUUGUCAUUUCCUGAACAUACCAUGUCCUUAGAUGUCUUUAUGUCUUCUCCCUUUCCUAUGCCUAUCAGAAUCUUAAGUCCUUACAAAUCCUUCCAUUAAUCUUUCCUCAAUCUCCCAUGUCAGACUUAAUUGCUUUUUUUCUCUGAGCUUCUUGUUCUUUUUAUACAUAAAAAGAGAACUUUUUAUUUUGCUACAUAAUGUAAGAGUUUUCUAGACUGUGAGCUCCAAAGCCAAACCAGGUCAUGUUCAUUUUAUAUUUCAGUACUUAGCUCAGUGUCAGGCACACAGAAGAUAAUAAAUAUUUGCAUAUGAAUAAACUUAUAAUUUCAUUCUCCAAUUAAUCAUAGUAUCGUGC